This is a long non-coding RNA of Papaver somniferum (opium poppy), 793 nucleotides long. RefSeq lists it as uncharacterized. Lineage: Eukaryota; Viridiplantae; Streptophyta; Magnoliopsida; Ranunculales; Papaveraceae. The transcript has 5 exons. The record is from RefSeq and is a predicted model, not a curated record.
UGUGUAUGUAGUAGGCAUGAAACAUAGCAGGAUCCAUUUUUGGCAGGUACAAUUCAUUUGGUUCUACAUACAUUUUCGUUAUUUGCCAUUACCUGUGAUAAAGAAAACUGCAGCAGAUGGCUUCACAUAAGAGUGGUAGCAUUGCCUUUGCUUCACGUAAUAGAUUGUCGGUGCUACUGAACGCAUUCUCAUGCCGACUUCCUUUGGUCUCUAGAGUUUCUAUGAAUUGCGGCCCCUUACGCACAAAGUCUCCACCUUUUCCAUGACAUACCGAGUUCAAUGCAGAGAAGAGUUUCCUGAAAGAAUGAAUGCCACACCGAGUUCAACACGUAGAAGAGUUUCAUGAAAGAACUUGAAUCAGGGGAUUUAAAUCUCGGAUUCAGGUUAGUUGAGUCGGAAAGACCACCUCUAAAGGCAACAAAACUUUAAAUGGCCACAAUGUAUGCAGUCAUAGAGGGCUCAUUACUAAGAAUGGAGUAUAUUUCAGCAGCCAGGGAAAUAACAUGAUUGCAAAUGGGUCUUUCGCGCUGCAAGUAAGUUUUCACAUAUGCAUUCAUUUCGUUGGUGAUCGAGAGAAUGCUUGUUUGAGUAUUUUAGAUCGGUUAAUGGCUGAUAUGAAUAUUUAGCAACAUUCUCACUAGUGGUAAUAUCCAAGCAUUCCUUCCGAUGGCCCCUUUGAUGCAAACUUAAUGGCUGCUCGACUUGAGAAUGUGAAAAUAGUCGAGAUUGGUUCAUGUACAUUGGGCUUGAAAAAUGGUCUGUUUGUAUUCCCAUAUCUUUUCAUAAAUGUUAA